AGCCUUUGGAAAGGAUUAAAGGUUAUACCUGCCCAAUGUUAAAUUAAUGGCCGCGGUACUUUGACCGUGCUAAGGUAGCACAAUCAAUUGGCCCUUAAUUAGGGUCAGGUAUGAAUGGAGUUACGGGGCUUAGCUGUCUCUAGACUAUUUAAUUGAAGUUGCUAUAUAGGUGAAAAAGCCUGUAUUAAGAAAAAAGACGAGAAGACCCUUAGAGUUUUACUUAAAAAAGAGUUAUUACUUCACUAGUUUUGUUGGGGCAACAUAGGAGAAGAACCAAACCUCCUAAAGGAUAUAAACCGAUGUUUUUAAAUAUGAAUAAACUACCUUAGGGAUAACAGCAUAAUUUUAAAAAUAAGUUUGUGACCUCGAUGUUGGACUAGGAAACUUAAGGGCUAGCCGCCUUUUGGUAAGGUUCUGUUCGAACUAUAAUUCCU
RNAcentral lists this ribosomal RNA (434 nucleotides) under Chromodoris magnifica. RNAcentral's name for it is "partial 16S ribosomal RNA". It matches the Rfam family "Bacterial large subunit ribosomal RNA", at positions 1817 to 2597 of the family's 2925-position model. Lineage: Eukaryota; Metazoa; Mollusca; Gastropoda; Nudibranchia; Chromodorididae. The record is from RNAcentral.